AUGGCCGACACUGACCGAUUGGCCAAGAAAAUAACUGACACAGAAAAGCUUGACGAAGCGGAUAUAAAAUAUGGCAAGAUGUUAAAAAAUCAAGUCAAAAUCUUUCGUAAAGCCACAAAUAGAACUACUCCCCAUCCUUCUCUUGCUGCAAAUCCAAGUAAGAAAAUUGACAAGAUUCUAUCUAUUGACAGCCACUGGAUAAUCAUGUCACCACAUAAUCGGUUCAGAAAGACUCAAGCAGUAGGUCUACUUGGCUCAAUCAUAUCAUCGUAUCACCUUCAUAAUGUCUAUUUUGACUACAGUCCCGUAUACAGUCUCCAUAUUCAGAAACGAUUCAUUCGUCUCACACUCAUAACUAGCAACCAGCUUGUAACGACACAAUUAUUACACAGAAAGCUACAUGAGUUGCACGUUGUCUAG
This 420-nucleotide ribosomal RNA is filed under the name Triticum aestivum (bread wheat). RNAcentral describes it as "partial small subunit ribosomal RNA". Lineage: Eukaryota; Viridiplantae; Streptophyta; Magnoliopsida; Poales; Poaceae. The record is from RNAcentral.